RNAcentral lists this ribosomal RNA (453 nucleotides) under Bacillus pumilus. RNAcentral's name for it is "bacterial SSU rRNA". It matches the Rfam family "Bacterial small subunit ribosomal RNA", at positions 369 to 808 of the family's 1533-position model. Lineage: Bacteria; Bacillati; Bacillota; Bacilli; Caryophanales; Bacillaceae. The record is from RNAcentral.
CAACCUCGGUGUCGAAGUCUGACGGAGCACGCCGCGUGAGUGAUGAAGGUUUUCGGAUCGUAAAGCUCUGUUGUUAGGGAAGAACAAGUGCAAGAGUAACUGCUUGCACCUUGACGGUACCUAACCAGAAAGCCACGGCUAACUACGUGCCGGCAGCCGCGGUAAUACGUAGGUGGCAAGCGUUGUCCGGAAUUAUUGGGCGUAAAGGGCUCGCAGGCGGUUUCUUAAGUCUGAUGUGAAAGCCCCCGGCUCAACCGGGGAGGGUCAUUGGAAACUGGGAAACUCGAGUGCAGAAGAGGAGAGUGGAAUUCCACGUGUAGCGGUGAAAUGCGUAGAGAUGUGGAGGAACACCAGUGGCGAAGGCGACUCUCUGGUCUGUAACUGACGCUGAGGAGCGAAAGCGUGGGGAGCGAACAGGAUUAGAUACCAUGGGGUAGUCCACUGCUGCCUCCC